UACAUGCAAAGUGUGUGGCACCAAGAUAAAUGAUGCUGGAUCAACAACGUCGGACUUCAUCAGGCAUCUAAAAACGCACCUAAAUAGGCAGUGUGGAUUAAACUUCUCAGAAUCAAAGUGUAAAGGGGUAAAAGUCUAAAUGGGUGGUCUGAAAGAAGAAAAGUUGGAAGUGGUCCAGUUUAUAGUGUGCUGUCAGUCUCAGCAGGCGUGCUCUGGAACAAGCUGCCGACUGGAGGAUCAACUUUAGAAAUGUCUCUGUGGAGGCGCUGGUGGCUGUUCAGCCGUAUUCUGCAAUAUUUAGUCUUGGUGCUGCAUCAUCAGCAAGGACAAGCUUUCCCUGUGUAAAGGCCUCAGCAUGCUUCCAUCAUGUGUCCACUCCAACCACACCUAAAGGCAACAGUGUGGACACCUGUUCCACAUGACCUCACUGCCAUGACCCUCUCUGCCUCCUCCAUUUUUCUCCAACAACUUUGUGUUUUGAAUUUCUUUGUAGUCUCUGAAAAGAUGAAUCUUACAGAUGUUGCACUCUGGACAGAAAAAAUUAUUGCAUCUUAUAACCAUUAUUUGAAAGCUGUCUCUCCUCAGUGAAGGCCAUCUCAAAGCUCUUAUUUCUGCAUUAAACAAAUUACACAACAUA
Molecule: long non-coding RNA, 637 nt
Organism: Perca flavescens (yellow perch)
Lineage: Eukaryota; Metazoa; Chordata; Actinopteri; Perciformes; Percidae
Exons: 4
Source: RefSeq, a predicted model, not a curated record